AUUGAACGCUGGCGGCAUGCUUUACACAUGCAAGUCGAACGGCAGCACGGGUGCUUGCACCUGGUGGCGAGUGGCGGACGGGUGAGUAAUACAUCGGAACGUGUCCAGAAGAGGGGGAUAACGCAUCGAAAGAUGUGCUAAUACCGCAUAUGCUCUGAGGAGGAAAGUAGGGGAUCGAAAGACCUUACGCUUUUGGAGCGGCCGAUGUCUGAUUAGCUAGUUGGUGGGGUAAGGGCCUACCAAGGCGACGAUCAGUAGUUGGUCUGAGAGGACGACCAGCCACACUGGGACUGAGACACGGCCCAGACUCCUACGGGAGGCAGCAGUGGGGAAUUUUGGACAAUGGGCGCAAGCCUGAUCCAGCAAUGCCGCGUGAGUGAAGAAGGCCUUCGGUUG
RNAcentral lists this ribosomal RNA (396 nucleotides) under uncultured bacterium. RNAcentral describes it as "bacterial SSU rRNA". It matches the Rfam family "Bacterial small subunit ribosomal RNA", at positions 30 to 425 of the family's 1533-position model. The record is from RNAcentral.